UCAUUUUAAUGUUUAUUUUAGGGUUGACUUAAAUGUUUACAAACCAGGCUAUAUUCGUGUUUCAUAGCACCCGAGGAAGCUUUUGUAAACCUUAAUUCUCACACUCAAUUUUCAGUAAAAAAUUUUGUACCUGAAAAUAUGGUCAAGUCCUGUUUUAUCCGUUUUAAAUCAAAAAUUACCUUAAGUUUUAAGCAACGUCGGUUUUACUUUGUAAUAUUUAUUCGUACCGUUUGCAUUAAUAUUGUACUUCUCAACAUGACCCAAGACGAAACUGUUUCUUUGGGGAUCGGUAUAACAAAUUUUACUAUGCGCAAUUUUCUUGUCAAGUUUUCCUGUUCAAUGCAUAAUAUUAUGAAGUUUCUAUCAGAAUUGUUCCUUUCCAAUCCAGUGUAUUCAAAGGGAUACGAACAGAGAGUACUAAUUCCAGGUUCUUUAUGCGCCCUUAAAAAAAUGGGGGGAGGGGAGUUAGCAACACUUCAGGAGCCCUGGACUUUUAAUUACUAGUAAGCUAAACCAACCACUUCCUAAACCUAGCUCGCCCAGGGUAGCUUUUCUCUUUCCGUCUGAGGCCACGACCUAUUCCGACCCCACUGUGCUGCAAAAGGGGACGGCCCCAGAGUGACCUGGAAAAAAAAAAGGAUCAAAGGCUAUAAACCGCUUCAAACGCGGAAAGAAAGAUCACUCGACGCCCAAGGAGGGCAGAAGCUUUCAUUGGCCACAUUUGAAAAAGAAGGUGACUCCCUAACGCGUUCUCCUGACGCACAGCAAGACACAGCCCCCGGGGUCCGAAGUGACUAACAGGUAGCACGAAGAGAGCCACCGCCGGCCGGAAGUGGAAGUGAGCCCGGGCGGGGGGUGGGAGGGGUGGGAAAGACAGGCCGCACCGGGCCUGCGCAGUCUGCAGGCAUUGCAGCGCGCAGGCGCAGCUGGGCGUGACUGGGUGACGCCGGGAGCGUGGGCUGCGCCUGUCGCGAAUCCGGUUCCGCCCUCCCCUUGUCAGCCCACCCUACGGAGAGAGCGCCCGAGCUCCCUUUCCCAGAGUGCUCCGCGCCGUGAAGAAGCGGCUCCCGGGGACUGGGGGCAUUUUGUGUUGGCUGGAGCUAGAGUAACAAGAUGGCGGCCUCGGCGGAGUGACGGCUUCCCUCCGGGCCGGAGCCGGCGGCAGUGGUGGCAGCGGUACCGCCCGCCCUCGUUCACCGCGCCCCUUUCCCAGCCCGCGACGUCGCCGCGACCACGAAAAAAAAUCAGCGGCGGCCGCCCGAGAACAACAAGCGGCCGAGCUUCAGCAGCCGCGACCACCCUUCACGAACCGCGGCCUGGCCCUUCAGCGAGCGGCGGCGGCGGCGAUCCGGCUUCUCUCUGCCGCCUGUGCGCCCCGUGACGCCGACAGAGCCUUGGGUUUAGGUUGCCCGCCGCGCUUCUCACUUCUGCCGCGGGUGGAACAGCCCCGGAGGCUUCCAUCCUCUUCCUGAGGUGUCGGGGCUCGGCCCCCCGCCUCCAUCUUCGCGUCUCAGGAUGGCGAGCAGCAGCGGCUCCAAGGCCGAAUUUAUCGUCGGUGGAAAAUACAAACUGGUGCGGAAGAUCGGAUCUGGCUCUUUCGGGGACAUUUAUCUAGCGAUCAACAUCACCAAUGGCGAGGAAGUGGCAGUGAAACUAGAAUCCCAGAAGGCCAGGCAUCCCCAGUUGCUGUACGAGAGCAAACUGUAUAAGAUUCUUCAAGGUGGGGUUGGCAUCCCUCACAUACGGUGGUAUGGGCAAGAAAAAGACUAUAAUGUACUAGUCAUGGAUCUCCUGGGACCCAGCCUUGAAGACCUCUUCAACUUCUGUUCAAGGAGGUUCACUAUGAAGACCGUACUUAUGUUAGCUGACCAGAUGAUCAGUAGAAUUGAAUAUGUGCAUACAAAGAAUUUUAUACACAGAGACAUUAAACCAGAUAACUUCCUAAUGGGUAUUGGGCGUCACUGUAAUAAGUGUUUAGAAUCUCCAGUGGGGAAGAGGAAAAGAAGCAUGACUGUUAGUCCUUCUCAGGACCCAUCUUUCUCAGGAUUAAACCAGUUAUUCCUUAUUGAUUUUGGUUUGGCCAAAAAGUACAGAGACAACAGGACAAGGCAACACAUACCAUACAGAGAAGAUAAAAACCUCACUGGCACUGCCCGAUACGCCAGCAUCAAUGCACAUCUUGGUAUUGAGCAGAGUCGCCGAGAUGACAUGGAAUCUUUAGGAUAUGUUUUGAUGUAUUUUAAUAGAACCAGUCUGCCGUGGCAAGGACUGAAGGCUGCAACAAAGAAACAAAAAUAUGAAAAGAUUAGUGAAAAGAAGAUGUCCACUCCUGUUGAGGUGUUGUGUAAGGGGUUUCCUGCAGAAUUUGCCAUGUACUUAAAUUACUGUCGUGGGCUGCGCUUUGAGGAAGCUCCGGAUUACAUGUAUCUGAGGCAGCUAUUCCGCAUCCUUUUCAGGACCCUGAACCACCAAUAUGACUACACAUUUGAUUGGACGAUGUUAAAGCAGAAAGCAGCCCAGCAGGCAGCCUCUUCCAGUGGGCAGGGUCAGCAGGCCCAAACCCCCACAGGCAAGCAAACUGACAAAACCAAGAGUAACAUGAAAGCCUUUUUCAUUGUGGACAGUAAAGCUGGAGAGUAACACAGCCCAAGAAGAAAUGAAGAUGAAAGUCCAAGAGAUCUCUCCCAGGCUUGCUGGGCCUGUUAACUCUUCAGCAUGUCAGCUUCUGUGUGGAUGGUGACUGUCAGAAGACUGUAACAGUGUUGCUGAACAAUCUGCCAGUUGGGAAGGAUUCAUUCAUAACAGGAACAGAGAAGCUGGUGCCUCCUUUCUAACUGAGGUUACAGUGAAGAUGCGCUCUGGAACCAGAGGUGCCGCCCAGACUACAAGAUUUUAAAAUCAAACAAAAGACUAAAGCACACUGGAAGAGAGUGCUUGUUAGUAGUUGAAGAUUGGAUGUUGGCCUGCUGAGAUGUUUUUCCUUCUUGAGUACUAUCAAAGGACAGCUCUUUGGAGAAAGGAUGCCUGGGUAGAAGAACAUCUGCCGUUGGCCUGUCUAGCUGAAGAAAUACAUCUGGAUUUGACUGCUGUACUCUACCAGGAAUAUUGUUAGACUAACCUUCAGCCGGUCCCUAAACAAUGUUGACCACAGACUGAACUGGCAGGUCCACACAGAUAGACUUCUGACCUAGAGCUUCCCUAUUAUUAAAAAACUAAGUUGUCUUGUAUUUUGGCUUAUAGUUUGUAGUGGUUUUCCCCUUCAAAUCUGCUUGCAUGAAGAGAUAUUCAAUGUGACAAUCAAAUUACUAAAAUACAGUUACAUGAUUACAGCAAAUUAUGAUAAGGGGGGAAACCCUAGGUGUAGUAGCUGGGAAAUCGCCUUUGUUUACAGUAUUUAUGAAUAACUUUUUAAUACUUAGAGCCAUAUCCUAAUGGGGUGAAGGCCAUUUUUGUUUAACUAGUUCAUGGUUCCUUGGAUUUAAUAGCUUCUUAGCCUGUGAAAUCAGAAUUAGAUCACAGGUGUGAUAGCCUUUUAAAGUAUGCCUUACUGUGUGGCUGGGGAGCUAGUCCAAUAGAUAAAGCACUAGCAGACAAUGAAAACCAGCAUUCAGACCCUUAAAAAUGGGUGGAUAUGUAGGCCAAGUGUAAUCCUUGCACUGGGAAUGUAGAGAUAGUAUCCCACAAAGCAAGCUGGCCAAAUUGUAAACUCUAGGUUCAGUGUAAGACCCUGCAUAAAUACAAGGUGGUGAGCCAUCUGGAAAGAUACUUGAUUUUAGCAUCUUACACAUAAAAGAGCACAGAACGUUUUUGGUUUUUUAUUUUUUAAGUUUACCAGUGCUAUUUCAUCUUUAUUCAAUGUUUGCUUUAUGCCAUCUUAGGAUUAUGGAAUCAGGGUUGGCUAUGUGCCUGUUCUUUCAUAGGAGAUACUCUGGGAAGUGGGGUAAAACACAUCUCUGCCCUCAGAGCUUAGGAUAGUGUGUUUAUCAGUACACGAGGAUGGCUAGUCUUCCUCCCAGAUGAGAAGUUUUUAGUAACAGGUGAAAAUACAUUUAUUUUUUUUAAAUGAUGAUUAUAAAUGUGUAAUAAUGUCUUUACAAUUUUAUUCUUGAAAACAUUUGUAAUAAAAAGUAAGUAGUAGGAAAAUUUUAUAUAUCCCAUGAAGCCCAAAGGAAAAAUCCAGUGCUUGAAGAGGAAAGGGAGGGGGAGCAGUAUAUUACUGACAGAAGCGUGGGGGUUGUCAUGCUAGUGGUUUGCGUGCUGGUUUUGUUUUUAAAAAGUCAAGAAAUGGUCUGAAAUGUAUGAAAUGUAGUUAGGUCACCUCAGGUUUGGAAGGGAAUAGACCAAAUGGCCUUUAUGGGAUGUUUGUGUUACUAAGAGGUAGACUGUUUAUUCUGUCUUAAGUAAAAAAAAAAAAAAAGACCAGCCAUUAAAGGUAGCAGCCCUGGGUUCCCUCAUGAGGAGAGAGAACUGUGGUGGAUCAGGACAAUUUGGAAAGUACAUGGAGUAUUUCUAGUUUGGGAGUUAGUCAUGAGACUUGGUCUUUUUAAUGCAGCAAUGGAAGUAGAAAAGUAGUAAGUUUAGCACGAGGGUUUUAUAUAGAAAUCAUUUCUUAGUGGUAUAAAAAGUUCAUGUUUAAUGAAUUCAUUAGAGCUUUCUAUUAUGUAAUCUCUUAUUAGAUGGUGUACACAGAAAUUCAUGCAUUUACUCUAGUUAGAAUCAUAUUCUAGUGCUGCAGUAAUAUCUUUUUCAUUGCUUGUUGGGUUUUUUAAAUUUAGUGUGUUCUUGGUAUCAAAGAAGAAGAAUUGGGCAUCCUCUUGUGACUGUAACAACUCUGAUAUAGCUUAGGGUUGGGUGCUGAGGCCCUGAUUGAUUAUAGACUGCUUCCUGGGUUAUUCAGAGUGAGGCUGGGGAGUGGCUUUAAUCAGAGAUGCAUGUACUGCCUUGUGAAAGUUUAGGUUGGUGAUUUUCCAGAUAAAAACACAGCAUUUCCAAGUGAUUAUUGUCCUACUUGUACCUAAUUUGGGGAGUACUUGUAACAUCUUUUUUCUGUUUCAAUUUUUUAAUAGGUUUCUAAGCAUGAAUUGUGGAAGAGAAGCAGCAGAGCAGACGAUUGGAGCAGCGUUUGUUUCUCCCCAAACCUAGACAUUUUAGUUCAUAUGUACACUAGCCAGUGGUUGUGGACAACCAUUUACUUGGUGUAAAGAACUUCAUUUCGGUAUAAACUGGCUCUGGGUAGCACUGCGGAUCCUGAGCUGUAGCCACUGUCCUUGUGAAUAUUAACUGAGGUAGUGAAACAUGGUGUCCGGUUUUCUAUUGCAUUUUUUUUCAAGUGGAAAAGUUAACUAAAUGGUUGACACACAAAUUGGUGGAGAAAUUGUGCAUAUGCCAAUUUUUAUUUUAUUUUUUUGUUAAAAUCUUUUAUUUUGAACUAUACUGCUUUGAGAUCUCAUUUCAGAAGAACGGCAUGAACAGUCUUCAGCCACAGUUGUGAUGGUUGUAAAUGUUCACAAUUGUGUGUUCUUAGGGUUUUCCAUCCCUGGGGUUUGCAAGUUGUUAACUUAAAACAUUCUUUAAAUGGCUGGCUUCUUGUUUGCAAGCCAGCUGAUAUGGUAGCAACCAAAGAUUCCAGUGUUUGAGCAUUUGAAAGACUCUGCCUGCUUACCUGUGCUAGAAAUAACAGCAUCUAAAGUGAAGACUUAAGAAAAAAAACAUAGCGACUACUAGAUUCUCUUUAGGACUCUGCAUUAACUCUAUAAUGUUCUUGCUAUUAAAAAAAAGCAUAUUUGUCACGGAAAUUUAGUUACCGUCUUACAACUGAACAUGUAUGUGUGUUGCUUAGAUAAAUGUAAUCACUGUAAACAUCUAUACGAUCUGGGAUUUUGUUUUUAUUUUGAAAUGGGAGCUUUUUGUUUACAAGUUCAUUAAAAACUAAAAACUGUUUCUGUAAGGAAGUGAAAUUUUUUUAAACAACAAAAUGCCUUGGCUGACUCACUAUGAAGUGUGUGUGUGUGUGUGUGUACAUAUAUAUACAUAUAUAUGCACACAUAUAUAUACCAUCCCCAGUUUUUUGUUUUGUUUUAUAUUUUGAGACAGAGUCUCAUUUUGUAGCUCUAGCUGGCCUGGAACUUUAUAGAUCAGGCUGGCCUAGAACUCUCAGAUCCUCCUGACUCUGCCUCUCUAAAGAGCUGGGACUGAAAAAAAUGAGCCACCAUGUCCAGCUUUCCCUAAUUUUUUGAUAGACUACUUCAAGCCAUUUGUUAUAUGAUAUUCCUUUGCUGCAAAAGGUUUGGUUUUGGGUUUUUGGGGGGGGGGGGCUGUUCUUGAUCUGAAGAGAAAGGUAUUCUUUGGCUUUCUGUUUGUAGCUCACAGGCACACUACCCCGUGCUACAGCUGUGGGAGCUUUGGCAUUGACUUCUGCCGCCACUGACUAGCAGAUGAACUGAUGACAGUGAAAGUGUUAAAGGGUUUAACUAUAUUACAAAAUAUGUUUCUUCAAAAUCCCUGUGAAAUGGCUGUAAGGUUGUCAUACAGUGUGAAGUUAGUGAUUGUUGAUCCUCAAGCCCCACCUCUCUAAGUACCUGUGCACGCUUCCCCCAGUCUUUCUUGGUUGCUCUUCAGUUGUUUCUCUGAUCCAAGAGAAGGAAAAACUUACAGUAAUUCUUUAAAUGGUGUAAUUUAUUCAUUUACAGCAUGUCAAGAUAAAUUAAAAAGAAAAUUUGUCUGAAAAUGCUGCCAGGAGCCUAUUGUGUAACUAGGUGUUGUGUAUAAUCUUGAAUUGUAAAUUGACCCAUGUUUGGUAAGAUUGUAUCAGAAUUGAUUUGUAGUAGUUUUCCUUUUCUUCUCCCCCCCCCCCUUUUUUUUGAAACAGCAAUAAUUAACUCCAUGAUUGCCACAUUCUGUCACCAAGAGAUGUGUUAUUACCGUAAAGCUGAAAUAAUCUUCUGAGGUGGAUCUGAUGGUGGGGUGGCAGCUUCAUGCUUGUCAGUUUCUUGACUAAUAAACCCUUUGAUACUUUUAGCGGGAAAUCAGUCUCAUAAAGCUAUUUUGAGUAUAGUUUGUGUAAAAUAAAACUGUUCAGCUUUGGCAAUAGCUUUCCAAGUUGAACUCCCUCUCUCUAUCUAGCAGGAUAUUUUUUCAGUGCUUUUAUUUACUAUGCACUUAGACUAUGCACUUUUUCUGAAAUAUUUUUGUAACACUUUUUUGUAUUUUUGCCAUUUGAAAAGGUUGUGGUGUUGUUGGUAUGUCAUUAAGUUGCAGGUUUGAAACUGCUGUUAGCUUUGUGACUCAGAAUCUAGAAAUGUUCUGUCCUGGUAUUUUGUCGUCCCAUCUACAGCUGGAGCUGGAAUCCGUUGAUCUUCUAGCUACCAUUCAUUUUCUUCACAGUUCACAAAGAAGAGCGUGAAAUUCAGUGAAUGCAGUUACUAAUCCUGUCUGGAAAUGAAUCUCAUUUCACCAAAUCAAUUGUGUUUUUCCACUAAAAUGAUGGUGUAUGUUGAAGACAUCACUCUGAGAUUGGAAGACCUCACCACUAAAGGCUCCAUCCACAGUGGCUGGCUCAGCUGAACUUUAGGUUGCCAUUCUUUUCUUUGUUCACCAUUGGGUGAUGCAGCUUUUUAACUGUUGGGAGAUGGCCAUUCUAACUACUGUUGAAUGUCUCUGUUUUGGGAAGGUAAAAUAAGAAAAUAAAAAAAGAAUAUAUAUGAAGGGAGAGGCUGGUUGUCUCUCCCAUGUGGUUGUGAAUAUGCUCUUAUGACCCACAAGUGGACAUACAAGGCUUAUCUUUGCUGUGAUUUCCUCUCUGCUUUAAGUCUAUCAUACUGUAAAUAUUUCAGAGUGUACUGUAACACGAGCUGAAUUGUGAUAAAUCAUGAACUGCAGAGACAGACGGUGUAGUCUAAGCCAGUAGGCUGUUCUCCCUGGAGAUUGCUGGGAAUAAUAAAGAAUAGUUUAUUGUAA
This is an RNA transcript of Mus musculus (house mouse), 7956 nucleotides long. It is a transcript of the gene named casein kinase 1, alpha 1, with no coding region annotated. The transcript has 12 exons. The record is from RefSeq and is marked validated. Lineage: Eukaryota; Metazoa; Chordata; Mammalia; Rodentia; Muridae.